AUAACGCGACUGGGAAGCGGUUGUCUUCCCGUGUAUGAUUGAACCCGCAACGCGCCCGUCACAUUCGGGAGGGCGUUGAGGGUUCAUUUUAUA
RNAcentral lists this small RNA (93 nucleotides) under Enterobacter sp. kpr-6. RNAcentral describes it as "sroE RNA". It matches the Rfam family "sroE RNA". From Rfam's summary of the family: This family consists of a number of bacterial sroE RNA genes of around 90 bases in length. sroE is found in several Enterobacterial species but its function is unknown. The record is from RNAcentral. Lineage: Bacteria; Pseudomonadati; Pseudomonadota; Gammaproteobacteria; Enterobacterales; Enterobacteriaceae.